UGAUGACUGUUCCUCUCAUUGUUGCAAGCCUUAAACAAUGGGAUUUUAUGUCAUCAGAUACUAAAGUUGGCCUUUCUUCACUCAAAGUGUCUUUAGGUGGUUGGGCCAUCUAUGACACUAUUGAAUUUUGCAGGGUCACACAUUC
Molecule: small nucleolar RNA, 145 nt
Organism: Python bivittatus (Burmese python)
Lineage: Eukaryota; Metazoa; Chordata; Lepidosauria; Squamata; Pythonidae
Product: small nucleolar RNA SNORA79
Source: RefSeq, a predicted model, not a curated record